GAAGGUGCGGGGAGGGACUUGCACUUUCAGCUCCUGAUUGGCUGUGCGUCAGCUCCCAGAGGCAAGUGUCCGUGGGGGAAAGCUCCAUCUGCCUCGCAGAUCUGCUGCGUAAUAGGCACCUGAAGCUGCUGAUUGGCUACUAAAGAGGCCUGUGCAGCCACUGAUUGGCUGUGGGGUAGACGCACAACGUGCGAGGCGCGCGGGCUGGGCCCAGGGCGACAGCGGAGCCUUCACACCGCUUUCUCCGCGCGCUGAUGGAGGAUUCCUGGCCUCACAGCAGUGCCUGGCCUGUGGGCGUCCCCGGCAGUCCUCGGCUGCGGGACCUGUAUCGGGACUGCGCAAAGUGGGCUUCCAGGAGAGCAGGGCGUCCCUCAGUCAGCUGACCCCUUGGAGCGUGGGGCAGCCCAGGCCCGUGAGGCCGCCAGUGUCACCCUCAGGCCCGCGAGGCCCCCGAGCCCCUUGUGGGGUCCAAGGCCCAUUCUGGAUCAGUCACGAGGCAAGACCGCGGACCCUCAGGAGAUCACCAGGAGCCCGCCGCGCAUUCCUCCGCCUCCACCACGCCAGUCACCUGCUCAGCCCGAGGGCAGCCAGCGGCCGUCGCCCCAGUGAGGCGGCCGGUGAGGAGCUGAGGCCGUGACCAGGGCAGCGCCCCGCGAGUCAGCGUCAGUCCCCGCGCCAGCCAGUUCCUCAGACAAUCAGCUCACCAUUCCCAUCGCGUAUGCUGGGAAAUCAUCAAUAUACCCGCUGUCAUGGGUCAGUGCUCACACAAUGAAGAUGACACAGAAGGAGAGGAAGACCAGGGCUGUGGCUCCAGCUCCCCCGAC
This 824-nucleotide long non-coding RNA is filed under the name Homo sapiens (human). RNAcentral's name for it is "HSALNT0398542". The record is from RNAcentral. Lineage: Eukaryota; Metazoa; Chordata; Mammalia; Primates; Hominidae.